Molecule: non-coding RNA, 2314 nt
Organism: Oryza sativa Japonica Group (Japanese rice)
Lineage: Eukaryota; Viridiplantae; Streptophyta; Magnoliopsida; Poales; Poaceae
Source: RefSeq, a predicted model, not a curated record
AUAAAGAAAUAUCUCUAUUUCUGGUUGGUAACACCAACCAGAACUAAAGAUAGUGCUAUCUUUAGUCCCGAUUGGUGUUAUCAACCUGGAGUAGAGAUAUAUUUUUUUUAUUUGCUUCUAGAUCAUUGUUUUUAGCUGUUUGCACUUGUUUUUAGCCGAACUCAUCCACGAUUCAUCUCCUAACAUCCUAAAUCAUCUACAAUCCCAAAUCAUACAAAAAAAACAUUAUCCACUAUCCCAAAUCAUUCACAACAACAAAAUCAUCAUCCACAAUCUCAAAUCGUCCAAACAAUAUAUAUAGUCCACAAAAAAUCAUCCACCAGUUAAAGAGGGAAAAAAAGGGAAAAAAGAAAACAUCGGCCGCCGCGCCCCUCCGUGCAGGCCACCGCGCCUCCCCGAGCGCCGCCGCCCCUCCGCGUCAGCCGCCGCGCCCCUCCGAGCGCCGCCGCGCCUCUCUGCGUCCGCUCGCUCGCCCUUUGCUGCGUGAGAGAUAGAAGGCUCGCUCGCCUCUGCCGCCUGAGAGGAUAGACGUAGAUAGAAUAGAGAGAUGAAAGGGAGAGGAUAAAAAAAGAGAGAAGGAUAAGCGAAGAGGUGGUUGCUAGAGGAUAAGUACUAGGGACUAUAUACUAUGCGCCGAUUUUUAGUCCUGGUUGGCAUUACCAACCGGGAAUAAAAAGAGUAGGGGGUGGACACUUUCUUAACGGGACUAAAAACCAACUGAGACUAAAGAUCAUAAAAUGGUUAUGGGCUUCCCAAUAGAGGCUAAAGAUGAUUUUUAGUCCUAAUUGGUGUUACCAACCGAGACUAAAUAUCAUAAAAUGGUUGUGGGCUUCUUAACCGGGGCUAAAGAUGAUUUUUAGUCCCCGGUUAUUUUUGGAACAGGACUAUUGUGGUUUUCGGUCGAUCCAGUAUGUUUUGGGUACAAGAUUUCUAAUACAUGCCAAAUUUCGUUCCAGUCUGAUCGACGUAGCAGUGCAUGCGCACAAAGGCAUCAUCAUUCACUUUCUGACUCCCAUACGCACAAAAAGUCCUCAUUAUUCAGUCGCUGGUCCCUAUAUAUAUAUGCACAUAAAGGCCUCAUUUAGCUUAUAAAAGAGGCAGCAAGAGAGCUCUGAGCUGAGAAGAGAAGAGAUGAGCGUUAGUUCACAACUUCACGUUGAAUAAUGGUAGCAGGCUUAGGAGGCGCCGGGAGCUUUCCUUCUAUAUGUGGACUCUGAGAUGGUGGAUCAAGUUACCUACGGAGCAUUGAGGGGUACAGAAGACCAGCAUGCCACUCUUGCAUAUCUUCAGUAGAAUAAACAUGCACGGGAAUUCUCUGUAGUAUAUAUAAUCAUGAGAACCAAGGAUUAGACGUAGUUGAGCUGAUGAUGGAUAAGGUGAUAUGCUCAGUAAUGAUGGACAUGACUCAUGUUGAUGAUCUGAAGCUUAAUUAGGCGCUCUCUUGUAUAUGGGCGAGAAUAAACGGUUCAUUUGUUAUGAGUACAAGAAUGCUAAUGCCAACGUGGAUAUUUAGUUCUCAAUUCCUAAUUCCAGAGUUUGUUAAACCUGGAUAUAUUUCAAAACAGAAGAAACGGACUAUCCCUGCUGUACAUCUUACCUCUUAGUCUAGGUGAUUUAUACAAAGAGAACUUUGACGGUACAAAGGUCCCUUGAUUUCGCCUGGUGAGAGGUUGGGAUAGUUAUAAGUAUUAAGGUAUUGCAUUGUGGAGUUUUUCCCUCAUCUUGUGCAGAUCUAUAUACUCUUUGAGGAAAAAAUAUCAUUUACUCAUGACGUGUGGAAAAAAAACCCUGUGAUGGAAAUGAGCUCUCGGGAAAACAGGAGGCGAUGCAGCAGUGGCUGUGUAGCAUGGCAUGGUGCUGGAGGUGACGGCGACACAAUGCUCUCCCCUGCGAGGCGGCUAUCACCUUCGGUGGCCACCUUCUCACUCGUAAGAAAUCUUCAUCCUCUCUCCUGUGCCCAUUGCCUAAGGGUUAAGGCUUCUUGAUGCAAUUAAAUCCCCAGUCGCGGGUGGCAGCGGCGGCCCAUGGCGAGCCCCAAACGGACGAGGUAGUGAGCGGAAAUGAUAAGGAGGUAGAGGCUGCAAUGUAUUGGUGGAGUGGAAGGAUUGAGCUGCAGUUCUUGGUGUUGUUUUUCUUGGUUUUCUUGUGUUCUUGGUCUGAAAUUUGAAGUUUGAAAUUCCGGUAUUUAGCAUAUACAGUAGUGUCACAGUUGCAUGUUUUCUAGAUUGUAUGAGCCUAUCGUCGUACUCCUCAAAACAAAAGUAGCAUAGUUGUGACUUGUGUGUCGGAUGGGUGCUACUGAGUAUCAGCAAUA